This 2904-nucleotide ribosomal RNA is filed under the name Escherichia coli DEC13D. RNAcentral describes it as "bacterial LSU rRNA". It matches the Rfam family "Bacterial large subunit ribosomal RNA". The record is from RNAcentral. Lineage: Bacteria; Pseudomonadati; Pseudomonadota; Gammaproteobacteria; Enterobacterales; Enterobacteriaceae.
UUAAGCGACUAAGCGUACACGGUGGAUGCCCUGGCAGUCAGAGGCGAUGAAGGACGUGCUAAUCUGCGAUAAGCGUCGGUAAGGUGAUAUGAACCGUUAUAACCGGCGAUUUCCGAAUGGGGAAACCCAGUGUGUUUCGUCACACUAUCAUUAACUGAAUCCAUAGGUUAAUGAGGCGAACCGGGGGAACUGAAACAUCUAAGUACCCCGAGGAAAAGAAAUCAACCGAGAUUCCCCCAGUAGCGGCGAGCGAACGGGGAGCAGCCCAGAGCCUGAAUCAGUGUGUGUGUUAGUGGAAGCGUCUGGAAAGGCGCGCGAUACAGGGUGACAGCCCCGUACACAAAAAUGCACAUGCUGUGAGCUCGAUGAGUAGGGCGGGACACGUGGUAUCCUGUCUGAAUAUGGGGGGACCAUCCUCCAAGGCUAAAUACUCCUGACUGACCGAUAGUGAACCAGUACCGUGAGGGAAAGGCGAAAAGAACCCCGGCGAGGGGAGUGAAAAGGAACCUGAAACCGUGUACGUACAAGCAGUGGGAGCACAGAGCAAUCUGUGUGACUGCGUACCUUUUGUAUAAUGGGUCAGCGACUUAUAUUCUGUAGCAAGGUUAACCGAAUAGGGGAGCCGAAGGGAAACCGAGUCUUAACUGGGCGUUAAGUUGCAGGGUAUAGACCCGAAACCCGGUGAUCUAGCCAUGGGCAGGUUGAAGGUUGGGUAACACUAACUGGAGGACCGAACCGACUAAUGUUGAAAAAUUAGCGGAUGACUUGUGGCUGGGGGUGAAAGGCCAAUCAAACCGGGAGAUAGCUGGUUCUCCCCGAAAGCUAUUUAGGUAGCGCCUCGUGAAUUCAUCUCCGGGGGUAGAGCACUGUUUCGGCAAGGGGGUCAUCCCGACUUACCAACCCGAUGCAAACUGCGAAUACCGGAGAAUGUUAUCACGGGAGACACACGGCGGGUGCUAACGUCCGUCGUGAAGAGGGAAACAACCCAGACCGCCAGCUAAGGUCCCAAAGUCAUGGUUAAGUGGGAAACGAUGUGGGAAGGCCCAGACAGCCAGGAUGUUGGCUUAGAAGCAGCCAUCAUUUAAAGAAAGCGUAAUAGCUCACUGGUCGAGUCGGCCUGCGCGGAAGAUGUAACGGGGCUAAACCAUGCACCGAAGCUGCGGCAGCGACGCUUAUGCGUUGUUGGGUAGGGGAGCGUUCUGUAAGCCUGCGAAGGUGUGCUGUGAGGCAUGCUGGAGGUAUCAGAAGUGCGAAUGCUGACAUAAGUAACGAUAAAGCGGGUGAAAAGCCCGCUCGCCGGAAGACCAAGGGUUCCUGUCCAACGUUAAUCGGGGCAGGGUGAGUCGACCCCUAAGGCGAGGCCGAAAGGCGUAGUCGAUGGGAAACAGGUUAAUAUUCCUGUACUUGGUGUUACUGCGAAGGGGGGACGGAGAAGGCUAUGUUGGCCGGGCGACGGUUGUCCCGGUUUAAGCGUGUAGGCUGGUUUUCCAGGCAAAUCCGGAAAAUCAAGGCUGAGGCGUGAUGACGAGGCACUACGGUGCUGAAGCAACAAAUGCCCUGCUUCCAGGAAAAGCCUCUAAGCAUCAGGUAACAUCAAAUCGUACCCCAAACCGACACAGGUGGUCAGGUAGAGAAUACCAAGGCGCUUGAGAGAACUCGGGUGAAGGAACUAGGCAAAAUGGUGCCGUAACUUCGGGAGAAGGCACGCUGAUAUGUAGGUGAAGUCCCUCGCGGAUGGAGCUGAAAUCAGUCGAAGAUACCAGCUGGCUGCAACUGUUUAUUAAAAACACAGCACUGUGCAAACACGAAAGUGGACGUAUACGGUGUGACGCCUGCCCGGUGCCGGAAGGUUAAUUGAUGGGGUCAGCGCAAGCGAAGCUCUUGAUCGAAGCCCCGGUAAACGGCGGCCGUAACUAUAACGGUCCUAAGGUAGCGAAAUUCCUUGUCGGGUAAGUUCCGACCUGCACGAAUGGCGUAAUGAUGGCCAGGCUGUCUCCACCCGAGACUCAGUGAAAUUGAACUCGCUGUGAAGAUGCAGUGUACCCGCGGCAAGACGGAAAGACCCCGUGAACCUUUACUAUAGCUUGACACUGAACAUUGAGCCUUGAUGUGUAGGAUAGGUGGGAGGCUUUGAAGUGUGGACGCCAGUCUGCAUGGAGCCGACCUUGAAAUACCACCCUUUAAUGUUUGAUGUUCUAACGUUGACCCGUGAUCCGGGUUGCGGACAGUGUCUGGUGGGUAGUUUGACUGGGGCGGUCUCCUCCUAAAGAGUAACGGAGGAGCACGAAGGUUGGCUAAUCCUGGUCGGACAUCAGGAGGUUAGUGCAAUGGCAUAAGCCAGCUUGACUGCGAGCGUGACGGCGCGAGCAGGUGCGAAAGCAGGUCAUAGUGAUCCGGUGGUUCUGAAUGGAAGGGCCAUCGCUCAACGGAUAAAAGGUACUCCGGGGAUAACAGGCUGAUACCGCCCAAGAGUUCAUAUCGACGGCGGUGUUUGGCACCUCGAUGUCGGCUCAUCACAUCCUGGGGCUGAAGUAGGUCCCAAGGGUAUGGCUGUUCGCCAUUUAAAGUGGUACGCGAGCUGGGUUUAGAACGUCGUGAGACAGUUCGGUCCCUAUCUGCCGUGGGCGCUGGAGAACUGAGGGGGGCUGCUCCUAGUACGAGAGGACCGGAGUGGACGCAUCACUGGUGUUCGGGUUGUCAUGCCAAUGGCACUGCCCGGUAGCUAAAUGCGGAAGAGAUAAGUGCUGAAAGCAUCUAAGCACGAAACUUGCCCCGAGAUGAGUUCUCCCUGACUCCUUGAGAGUCCUGAAGGAACGUUGAAGACGACGACGUUGAUAGGCCGGGUGUGUAAGCGCAGCGAUGCGUUGAGCUAACCGGUACUAAUGAACCGUGAGGCUUAACCUU